RNAcentral lists this ribosomal RNA (1048 nucleotides) under Nosema sp. Its description in RNAcentral is "SSU rRNA". It matches the Rfam family "Microsporidia small subunit ribosomal RNA", at positions 77 to 1200 of the family's 1311-position model. The record is from RNAcentral. Lineage: Eukaryota; Fungi; Microsporidia; Nosematidae.
AGACGAACAGCUCAGUAACCUCUUAUUUGAUUUGAUGUAUUAGGAUUCUAACUAUGUUAAAUUAUAGGUAACAAUAAUACAAUAAGAAUAAGAUCUAUCAGUUUAGUUGUUAAGGUAAUGGCUUAACAAGACUAUGACGGAUAACGGUAUUACUUUGUAAUAUUCCGGAGAAGGAGCCUGAGAGAUUGCUACUAAGUCUAAGGAUUGCAGCAGGGGCGAAACUUGACCUAUGAUAUUAUAUUGAGGCAGUUAUGAGUAGUAUUUUAUAAUUAUUGUAGUAUUGUAAGUACAUAUUACAAGAUAAAUCGGAGGGCAAAUCGAGUGCCAGCAGCCGCGGUAAUACUUGUUCCGAUAGUGUGUAUGAUGAUUGAUGCAGUUAAAAAGUCUGUAGUUUAUUUAUAAUAAGCAUUGUAAGGUAUACUGUAUGGUUAGGAGAGAGAUGAAAUGUGAUAACCCUAACUGGAUGAACAGAAGCGAAAGCUGUAUACUUAAAUGUAUUAUUAGAACAAGGACGUAAGCUAGAGGAUCGAAGAUGAUUAGAUACCAUUGUAGUUCUAGCAGUAAACUAUGUUGAAUCAUAGAUAUAUUUUGAUAUAUAUUUAUGUAGAGAAAUUAAGAUUAUAUUGACUCUGGGGAUAGUAUGAUCGCAAGAUUGAAAAUUAAAGAAAUUGACGGAAGAAUACCACAAGGAGUGGAUUGUGCGGCUUAAUUUGACUCAACGCGGGGUAAUUUACCAGGUAUAACAUGNUAUAAUAUUUUAUCAUGAUAGUGGUGCAUGGCCGUUUCCAAUGGAUGCUGUGAAGUAAUGAUUAAUUUCAACAAGAUGUGAGACCCUCAUUUAGACAGAUGUAGUGAUACAUAUGAAGGAGAGGAUUAAAACAGGUCCGUUAUGCCCUAAGAUAAUCUGGGUUGCACGCGCAAUACAAUAAUAUUUGAUAUUAUAAGGGAUAAUAUAAUGUAAGAUAUAUUUGAANCAUGGAAUUGCUAGUAAAUUUUAUUUAAUAAGUAGAAUUGAAUGAGUCCCUGUUCUUUGUACACACCGCCCGUC